UAGGGAAUCUUCCGCAAUGGACGCCAGUCUGACGGAGCAACGCCGCGUGUGUGAAGAAGGAUUUCGGUUCGUAAAACUCUGUUGUUAGAGAAGAACAGCGCAUAGAGUAACUGUUAUGCGUGUGACGGUAUCUAACCAGAAAGCCACGGCUAACUACGUGCCAGCAGCCGCGGUAAUACGUAGGUGGCAAGCGUUGUCCGGAUUUAUUGGGCGUAAAGCGAGCGCAGGCGGUCAAUUAAGUCUGAUGUGAAAGCCCCCGGCUCAACCGGGGAGGGUCAUUGGAAACUGGUUGACUUGAGUGCAGAAGAGGAGAGUGGAAUUCAAUGUGUAGCGGUGAAAUGCGUAGAUAUAUGGAGGAACACCAGUGUCAAAGGCGACUCUCUGGUCUGUAACUGACGCUGAGGUUCGAAAGCGUGGGUAGCAAACAGG
This 429-nucleotide ribosomal RNA is filed under the name Bacteroidota bacterium. RNAcentral's name for it is "Bacteroidetes bacterium partial 16S ribosomal RNA". It matches the Rfam family "Bacterial small subunit ribosomal RNA", at positions 355 to 776 of the family's 1533-position model. The record is from RNAcentral. Lineage: Bacteria; Pseudomonadati; Bacteroidota.